This 217-nucleotide unclassified non-coding RNA is filed under the name soil metagenome. RNAcentral describes it as "partial contains 5.8S ribosomal RNA, internal transcribed spacer 2, and large subunit ribosomal RNA". The record is from RNAcentral.
AAGACUAUAGACCUGCGGAGUACCUGCGGAGGGAUCAUUACCGAGUGAGGGUUCCCUCGUGGGCCCAACCUCCCACCCGUGUUUAUUGUACCCCGUUGCUUCGGCGGUUGCCCCCCCCCGGGGGGGUCCGCCGGAGACCAACUUGAACCCUGUAUGAGAGUAUUGUAGUCUGAGUCGAUUGAUACCAAUCAGUUAAAACUUUCAACAAUGGAUCUCU